ACACUUUCAACAAGCGGAAGCUUUAGUCUGUUUCAAUCUCUUACAGUACAAAUAAACUACUAAUAUAUUAGACAGCAGCAUAUCAUAUAGUAUUGAACCGAUUCACGCGAUUUUCAAAAUUCUGAUCUUUUUAAAUAUUAUAGACACCGGUCGAAUCAAGUUUUUUUUUUUUAAUAAAUUAUUUACGUUUGCUUCUCUAGAUGAUUCACAAUUCGUAAGCUACCAAAUAAAUCAAAUAUGUAUGACUACCCGCUUAAAAUCUCUCUCUCUGUUCUCUCUCUAAAAAUCUUUCACAGAGAGUGUGAGUGUUUCUUCUUUUGAUGUAAAAAUUCCGAUUAACAUCGGAUAUCUUUCCGGUUUAAUCCGGAGUUAAUAAUUUCUAACUUUUGGAUUUCAUCUCCGACUGUGUUCGGCUUUUCUCUAAUUAGUUUAGUUUAGUUUGUAUUAAUCCUUUUGCAGCUCUUUCAUCUUCUUCCAUCGGAGGAGAUAAACGCCAUGUAUUGCUCGGAGACUCUGCUUUCGCCAAUCUGCUCGAUUCCUAGUAUCAGGAGAGUAAAUUCCUUCAUACCCCCUAUUGGGGCCGUAAAAUCGGCUUUGUAUGAAGGUUUCUUCGCAUGCAAAAGAAUCGUGUUUAUGAAGAUCGUUGGUGGGUUUAGAACGGAACAGGAGAGCAAAGUUGCUCUGAUCUCUAGCCUUGCCGUGACUUCUUGUACUUCAAAAAUCAGAUAGCUUGUGAGUCUUUGUUCUAAACACUUGGUAAUUUACGCAGAAGGAUGAGGUGGUGUGAUCGUGAAUCAAGCGGCUGCCUUUGCUGGAUGUUGUUGCCGGAGGAUAAUGAAUUUCCCCGAUUCCGGUGAAGCUUGCCGUGCUUGAGUCGGUUGUGUUUCCAACCCAACUUGUUUGCAAACACGUGUUUAUACACAUGUCUCUUUACUGCUUUGCUUAGACCAUCCACAACGCAGUAUCAACCGAGUUCAUCAGCGGGGCCCAACGUAAUAUUUUUGAUUUGUUUUA
Molecule: long non-coding RNA, 1014 nt
Filed under: Eutrema salsugineum
Lineage: Eukaryota; Viridiplantae; Streptophyta; Magnoliopsida; Brassicales; Brassicaceae
Description: long non-coding RNA (ESAL_LNC000319)
Source: RNAcentral